GAUGACGAUACUUACUCCAAAUGCUUGA
Molecule: small RNA, 28 nt
Filed under: Bombyx mori (domestic silkworm)
Lineage: Eukaryota; Metazoa; Arthropoda; Insecta; Lepidoptera; Bombycidae
Description: ovarian small RNA-16143
Source: RNAcentral